UACGAAGGGGGCUAGCGUUGCUCGGAAUCACUGGGCGUAAAGGGUGCGUAGGCGGGUCUUUAAGUCAGGGGUGAAAUCCUGGAGCUCAACUCCAGAACUGCCUUUGAUACUGAAGAUCUUGAGUUCGGGAGAGGUGAGUGGAACUGCGAGUGUAGAGGUGAAAUUCGUAGAUAUUCGCAAGAACACCGGUGGCGAAGGCGGCCAACUGGACCAUUACUGACGCUGAGGCGCGAAAGCGUGGGGAGCAAACAGG
This 253-nucleotide ribosomal RNA is filed under the name uncultured bacterium. RNAcentral describes it as "partial 16S ribosomal RNA". It matches the Rfam family "Bacterial small subunit ribosomal RNA", at positions 524 to 776 of the family's 1533-position model. The record is from RNAcentral.